GCCGGCGCAUGGUGGCGCGUGAAGGGUCCAAAAAUUAAUCUGAAAAUUUGGGGAUGAUCCUGAGGUUGUGUAGGUCACUGUGGUAUAUUCAUAUACCCAUUUUGAGCUAUGUAUGAAAAGUUAUUAGCUAAUUUUGCCUAUGUACUUUAAAAUAACGUUUUUAUAGUUAAUUCGCAUAUAGGUGAGACUUAUCCCGAGGACGAGCGUAUCCAAGGGUGACUCGGGGGCUACGACCCUUCGACUUACCAGUGAGUGGGCUUUUGGUUUUCAGUAUAUAUUUAUAUACUUGAUAUUUUCCCAGAAAUAUGUGUUUAAAUAAUAGUAUGCCAUAAAUGCCAUGCAUAUAAGUUUAUAAUUCAUACAUGAUUUGGUAUGUGAUGCUUUAUAUAUGUCAAUGUGGUG
Molecule: long non-coding RNA, 402 nt
Filed under: Malus domestica (apple)
Lineage: Eukaryota; Viridiplantae; Streptophyta; Magnoliopsida; Rosales; Rosaceae
Description: long non-coding RNA (MDOM_LNC000787)
Source: RNAcentral